GGGUCAAUGAUGAAAUUUUUGCUUUGUCUCUAGAAAAGUGUUGUCUUAAAAGUCAUGCUCAAUAGAGUUUCGCUGCAGACCC
This 82-nucleotide small nucleolar RNA is filed under the name Carlito syrichta (Philippine tarsier). RNAcentral describes it as "Small nucleolar RNA SNORD115 (ENSTSYG00000028565.1)". It matches the Rfam family "Small nucleolar RNA SNORD115". From Rfam's summary of the family: HBII-52 is a member of the C/D class of snoRNAs, which contain the C (UGAUGA) and D (CUGA) box motifs. The record is from Rfam by way of RNAcentral. Lineage: Eukaryota; Metazoa; Chordata; Mammalia; Primates; Tarsiidae.